GACGAACGCUGGCGGCGUGCUUAACACAUGCAAGUCGAACGAGAAUCUGUGGAAAGAGGAUUCGUCCAAUUGAAGCAGAGGACAGUGGCGGACGGGUGAGUAACGCGUGAGGAACCUGCCUUUCAGAGGGGGACAACAGUUGGAAACGACUGCUAAUACCGCAUAACAUAUAGAUGUCGCAUGGCAUUUAUAUCAAAGAUUUAUCGCUGAAAGAUGGCCUCGCGUCUGAUUAGCUAGUUGGUGAGGUAACGGCCCGCCAAGGCGACGAUCAGUAGCCGGACUGAGAGGUUGAACGGCCACAUUGGGACUGAGAUACGGCCCAGACUCCUACGGGAGGCAGCAGUGGGAAGUAUUGCACAAUGGGCGCAAGCCUGAUGCAGCGACGCCGCGUGAAGGAUGAAGUAUUUCGGUAUGUAAACUUCUAUCAGCAGGGAAGAAAAU
RNAcentral lists this ribosomal RNA (441 nucleotides) under uncultured bacterium. RNAcentral's name for it is "bacterial SSU rRNA". It matches the Rfam family "Bacterial small subunit ribosomal RNA", at positions 28 to 452 of the family's 1533-position model. The record is from RNAcentral.